Molecule: unclassified non-coding RNA, 1853 nt
Filed under: Hevea brasiliensis (rubber tree)
Lineage: Eukaryota; Viridiplantae; Streptophyta; Magnoliopsida; Malpighiales; Euphorbiaceae
Source: RNAcentral
ACAAUAUAAUCAAACAACAUAAUCAAUCAAUCCUUUACAGUACAAAAUCAAUCAUAGUUUUUUCACACAACAUAAAACUAAAAUUAAACCAAAUAAUGUAAAUAGCUUAAGAUAUGGAAAAUCUUCUUCUCCUAGGCUUAGUAAGAUCUAGAGCAGCAUCAUCAACAAUACUAGAAGUGUCCUUUGAUCCAUGUUUAAAGGGAUUGAAUUUGCCUAAUGUUUUGGAGACAGAAGAGAAGAAUGUUGUCUUCUUCAGACUCCCUUUUGAUGUUCCUUGACUAGAAUUUGUUGUUUUCUGUAUAUCUGCUAUGUACAUCUUCAUCUUUAGCAACUCCGUUCUCAAAACUUCAUUUUCCUUUACGAGGGAAACAUCAGCUUGUAAUUGAUUCCUUGUUGCCAUGGCUUCGGGCAUGUUGUUAUUACUAUCAUCUGCUGCUCCGCUCCUUAUCUUUAGUUGAUCGAAAUAGAGAGCAUGAAGGACUAUUUGCACCGGCAAACGUUUGUUUUGAGAAGCAUGGACUCUUGCUUCAUGUGAUAGUUUCAAAGGAUCCAUCACACUACACACUUUUUCUCUUUCAAUUUCAUCCAAAUGUGGAUGUGCCUUCAAGUAGAUAUCAACAGCUCGAUAAAGAUCAUCAUCAGCCUUUCUCGCGCCCUUAGGAACCAAAAUAGCAAUUCCAUUGAAUUUUGAUAUACUGAGAUCUCCAAAUGUAGCGAUUUCACCAAGAUAAGCAUCGACAGUCUUUGCAACUCUCUGCAUAGCGGUGGUACAAACGUCUCCAAAAUCACCACCUUUAAACACAGCUACACUCUUCUCUUUCUCCAUAAAUCCGGAAAUGAUUCUCCUCACGCUCUCAAGAUCGAAUAGUCUUUCUCCGUCGUAAGAAAAAGACAAGACUAACAGAUCAUCGACUGUCACGUGUUCUAGUAUUGCUGAUAUCCUUUUCUCCAAUUCAUUCUUGCAGCUACUGGCUGCUCUUAAGAAAAUAGCUGUACGCAGGAGACAACACAAGAAAUUGAUUGGAAAAGCUGCUCUCUCCGCGGGCAACAGAGUCACAAUCGACUCUAGAAGUUCCCGUUGAUGCAUUCUCAUAUCCGAAUCCUCUGGUACCAUUAAUCUCGUGUUGUUUCCUGAGUGGUCACGUACAAGAUCACGAAGAGAUCUCUCUGUAUAUGUGAUUAUGGCACUUGCUAUGGUUAACGCUUUUGCCCCACGAGUUUUCAUUGCAACAAUAAUUCUCUCGAAAAAAGCUACAUCUAAGAUAGUUAACUCUUCCGUCCACCAAUUUGGUGGUGAUCUGCUAGGAAAAUUCGCCUCCACACACGCCUUAGCACCGGCGAUGUCAACACAUCUUUGAAUGAUAUUGAGAUCAUGUGCAAGAGGAAGAAGAUUUUCACAUGACUUUAACACAACAAGUGCACCAGAAAGGCUAGUCAAGGCAACUUGAGCUAGAAAAUCCUCUGUUCUGCUUGCGAGAUUGUUGUCACAGUAUUUAUCAGUCAUUUGAAGAUAUUCAGCAGCACAACGAAGAGCAGCAACGUUAUGUACUGUGAUUUCAAAGUUAACUCCAUAGCAGAACUUGGCUGCCUUCUCAAACAUCUCUGGCCCUCCAGGAAUAUCAGACAAGUUUAUACGACUUACAUCACUUUCUUUAGUAUCAAGUAUAAGUUUCCUUAUGUAAUUGCUCUUUGCUACUAGCAUGAACUUGUGAAGAUUAAAGUUUGCUUCACCUACUUCAACAAUAACAUCAGUUGGAAUUUCUUGUGAAAAUACCCAUUGGCCAGUUCUUUCCAUUGCAAGAGAGAGUCUAUUGGUAUUUUUGAGAGGAGUAGCCAUGUGAGAUUGGUUUUAG